CCUACGGGAGGCAGCAGUGGGGAAUAUUGCACAAUGGGGGAAACCCUGAUGCAGCGACGCCGCGUGAGUGAAGAAGUAUUUCGGUAUGUAAAGCUCUAUCAGCAGGGAAGAAAAUGACGGUACCUGAUUAAGAAGCCCCGGCUAACUACGUGCCAGCAGCCGCGGUCAUACGUAGGGGGCAAGCGUUAUCCAGAUUUACUGGGUGUAAAGGGAGCGUAGACGGCAGCACAAGUCUGGAGUGAAAUGCCGGGGCUUAACCCCGGAACUGCUUUGGAAACUGUGCAGCUAGAGUGCAGGAGGGGUAAGUGGAAUUCCUAGUGGAGCGGUGAAAUGCGUAGAUAUUAGGAGGAACACCAGUGGCGAAGGCGGCUUACUGGACUGUAACUGACGUUGAGGCUCGAAAGCGUGGGGAGCAAACAGGAUUAGAUACCCGUGUAGUC
This 440-nucleotide ribosomal RNA is filed under the name uncultured bacterium. RNAcentral describes it as "partial 16S ribosomal RNA". It matches the Rfam family "Bacterial small subunit ribosomal RNA", at positions 338 to 795 of the family's 1533-position model. The record is from RNAcentral.